Molecule: long non-coding RNA, 447 nt
Organism: Argiope bruennichi
Lineage: Eukaryota; Metazoa; Arthropoda; Arachnida; Araneae; Araneidae
Exons: 4
Source: RefSeq, a predicted model, not a curated record
UAGUCGUAUACUUUAUAAUACCGUUCCUGGAGAGAACUAAAGGGAGAAAAUGGCCGCCUCAAAAACUGUAUUUUGCUUCACUUUAGUAUUUGUACUUUUACAGUGUAUAACAAUUGAUGGUGCGACUACAGUGCCACCUGCUGGAAGUAACGCACCUGCGGGAGCUCCAACGGGAGCACCUGCUGCGAAUUCCUCAAUGCCAAAAAAUCCUGCCGGAAUGACUCUUCCAGUAACGGUUCCAAUGUAAACAAGAUCACCUGCUGAAAAAUGUGUGACUAUGUGACUACGUAUCGUAGUUACGGUAACAAAGAUAUUAAGAUUUUUUUGCUUCAACAACAUGAACAUGUUUUAUCGCACGAAAGAAUACAGAAUCUAUAAAAAUUGUCUUGUGAAAUUUGAGCACUGUACGUAUAAUAAAAAUAAUAAAAUGAUUUGAAAUUGCAAAUA